Molecule: ribosomal RNA, 401 nt
Filed under: uncultured bacterium
Lineage: Bacteria
Description: bacterial SSU rRNA
Rfam family: Bacterial small subunit ribosomal RNA
Source: RNAcentral
GGGAAUAUUGCAAAAUGGGCGAAAGCCCGAUGCAGCAACGCCGCGUGGGCGAUGAAGGCCUUCGGGUCGUAAAGCCCUUUUUGAGGGGAUGAGUAAGGACAGUACCCUCAGAAUAAGCCUCGGCUAACUACGUGCCAGCAGCCGCGGUAAAACGUAGGAGGCGAGCGUUAUCCGGAUUUACUGGGCGUAAAGCGCGUGCAGGCGGAUUGGAGAGUUGGAUGUGAAAGCUCCCGGCUUAACUGGGAGAGGUCGUUCAAUACUUCCAGUCUUGAGUGCAGUAGAGGGAAGUGGAAUUCCGGGUGUAGUGGUGAAAUGCGUAGAUAUCCGGAGGAACACCAGUGGCGAAAGCGGCUUCCUGGACUGUAACUGACGCUCAGACGCGAAAGCUAGGGUAGCAAACG